Molecule: long non-coding RNA, 425 nt
Filed under: Homo sapiens (human)
Lineage: Eukaryota; Metazoa; Chordata; Mammalia; Primates; Hominidae
Description: PREDICTED lncRNA (TCONS_00265470)
Source: RNAcentral
CUGUUCUCGAACUCCUGACCUCGAGUGAUCUGCCUGCCUUGACCUCCCAAAGUGCUGGGAUUGCAGGCAUGAGCCACUGCGCCUGGCCUACAAUUAGACUUUUUUAAUAAGUGAAAAAGAAAUUAACAGUAUUUAUAAAUUUAAUAGUAAAUAUGUAUAAUCAGAGUUUGAGGUAUUUUUCAAUGAAGGCAUUUUCUUUGCAGAAAGAAAUUUCAGAGCUUCCAAGACCACAAACUUAAAAUAAGUAAAGAAGCAGUAAAAUUCUUAAAAAGAUGCAGAAAGAUGGAUUUUUGCAUGAGAUGCUUCUGGACAGAGAACCAAAUUGAAAGCCGACAGAUACUGCAAAUGACUGGGAUUUUUGUUUCUGCCUUAUCUUUUUGUGUUUUUUUCUGAAUAAAAUAUUCAGAGGAAAUGCUUUUACGGAG